UAAAAAUUUAAGCUAUAUUAUUUAAGAUUUUUAUAAAAGUUAAUUUUAACUUUGAUAUUUAUUUAAAGUUUUAAUUUUAUAUAUAAAUUUUUAUUUAAUUAAUAUUAAAUUUUAAAAAUUUUUAUUUAAUAAUAAAUAAUUUUAAAAAUUAGAGAAAUUUAGAUUUAGAAAUAUUAAGAGAAUUAUUGUUAAAAUUUGUGCCAGCAAUCGCGGUUAUACAAAUAAUAAAAGUAAAUAUUUAUUUAUAUAAAUUAGUAUAUAAAAAUAUUAUAUAAAUAUAAAAUUAAAUUAGUUAGGUAAAAUUAAUUAAAUUUAAAUAAUUUUAUUUUUAUAAAUAAUAUGAAGUUUAAAAAAUUAUAAUUUUAAACUAGGAUUAGAUACCCUAUUAUUUAAAUAUAAAUUAAUUAAUAUAAAAGUAGUAAUAGUUAUAGUCUUAAAACUUAAAAAAUUUGGCAGUAUUUUAAUCUAAUUAGAGGAACCUGUUUAUUAAUUGAUAAUCCACAAUAAAUUUUACUUAAUUUUUUAAAAAUUUAUAUAUCAUUGUUAUAAAAAUUUUUUUAGGAAUAAAAUUUUAAAUUUUAAAUCUAAAUUUAUAUCAAAUCAAGAUGUAGUUUAUGAUUAAGAAUAGAAUGGGUUAUAAUAAAUAAAUUUUUGAAUUAUUUUAUGAAAUAAAAAUAUGAAAUUAGAUUUAAAAGUAAUUAAAUUUAUUUAGAUUUAAUGAUUAAAGAAACUAAAAUAUGUACAUAUUGCCCGUCACUUUCAUUGUUUUUUAAAUUGAAAUAAGUCGUAACAUAGUAGAAAUACUGGAAAGUAUUUCUAGAAAGAU
RNAcentral lists this non-coding RNA (826 nucleotides) under Silvatares holzenthali. The record is from RNAcentral. Lineage: Eukaryota; Metazoa; Arthropoda; Insecta; Trichoptera; Pisuliidae.